RNAcentral lists this ribosomal RNA (1365 nucleotides) under uncultured bacterium. Its description in RNAcentral is "partial 16S ribosomal RNA". It matches the Rfam family "Bacterial small subunit ribosomal RNA". The record is from RNAcentral.
AGAGUUUGAUCCUGGCUCAGGACGAACGCUGGCGGCGUGCCUAACACAUGCAAGUCGAGCGGGGAACCCCUUCGGGGGUUUUCAGCGGCGGACGGGUGAGUAACNAACGCUUGAGCAACCUGACCCUUAGAGGGGGAUAACACUCGGAAACGAGUGCUAAUACCGCAUAAGACCACGACAUGGCAUCAUGACGAGGUCAAAGGAGCAAUCCGCUGAGAGAGGGGCUCGCGUCCCAUUAGAUAGAUGGCGGGGUAACGGCCCACCAAGACGAUGAUGCGUAGCCGACCUGAGAGGGUGAUCGGCCACACUGGGACUGAGACACGGCCCAGACUCCUACGGGAGGCAGCAGUGGGGAAUAUUGGGCAAUGGGCGCAAGCCUGACCCAGCAACGCCGCGUGAGGGAAGAAGGCUUUCGGGUUGUAAACCUCUGUCCUUGGUGACGAAAAAAAUGACGGUAGCCAAGGAGGAAGCCCCGGCUAACUACGUGCCAGCAGCCGCGGUAAUACGUAGGGGGCAAGCGUUAUCCGGAAUUAUUGGGCGUAAAGGGUGCGUAGGCGGUUUGAUAAGUCUGAGGUGAAAGUUCGGGGCUCAACUGGAAAAAUGCCGUUGAUACUGUAUCGCUGGAAUAUGGUUGCUGUGAGUGGAAUGUGUAGUGUAGCGGUGAAAUGCUUAGAGAUGACACAGAACACCGACGGCGAAGGCAGGUUACCAACCCAUUACUGACGCUGAGGCACGAAAGCGUGGGGAUCAAACAGGAUUAGAUACCCUGGUAGUCCACGCCGUAAACUAUGAUUACUAGUUGUUGGCGAUACAUUGCCAGUGACUGAGCGAAAGCAUUAAGUAAUCCACCUGGGGAGUACGUUCGCAAGAAUGAAACUCAAAGGAAUUGACGGGGGCCCGCACAAGCGGAGGAACAUGUGGUUUAAUUCGAUGAUACGCGAGGAACCUUACCCGGGCUCGAACGGUGCAUGAAUAAUUCAGAGAUGGAUUAGUCCUUCGGGACAUGUAUCGAGGUGCUGCAUGGUUGUCGUCAGCUCGUGCCGUGAGGUGUCGGCUUAAGUGCCAUAACGAGCGCAACCCUUGUCGUUAGUUGCCAUCAAGUAAUGUUGGGGACUCUAGCGAGACUGCCACCGUAAGGUGUGAGGAAGGGGGGGAUGACGUCAAAUCAGCACGGCCCUUACGUCCGGGGCGACACACGUGUUACAAUGGUAGGUACAGAGGGCAGCUACCCAGUGAUGGGGUGCGAAUCUCAAAAACCUAUCUCAGUUCGGAUUGGAGUCUGCAACUCGACUCCAUGAAGUUGGAUUCGCUAGUAAUCGCGCAUCAGCCAUGGCGCGGUGAAUACGUUCCCGGGCCUUGUACACA